GAGGAAGUAAUAUUUUUAAUUGAUAUUAUAAACAUCUCACUAGUCACUAUAAUUAAUCUGUUAUUACAACGGUAAGGUAAUAGAUAAGACACAAAACAACCAACUUAAAAACAGAGUAUAAAAACAGAGCAUAAUAUAUCUGCUAUAUCUUUUCUAUUAUUGCUGUGAGUGCGCAUAAAGGAAACUAAAACACAAAGUAGACAUCAUUGAUAUUUAAAAGCAUUCAAGCACACAUCUCACUAGUCACUAUAAUUAAUCUGUUAUUACAACGGGUAAGGUAAUAGAUAAGACACAAAACAACCAACUUAAAAACAGAGUAUAAAAACAGAGCAUAAUAUAUCUGCUAUAUCUUUUCUAUUAUUGCUGUGAGUGCGCAUAAAGGAAACUAAAACACAAAGUAGA
This 402-nucleotide long non-coding RNA is filed under the name Brassica napus (rape). RNAcentral's name for it is "long non-coding RNA (BNAP_LNC018894)". The record is from RNAcentral. Lineage: Eukaryota; Viridiplantae; Streptophyta; Magnoliopsida; Brassicales; Brassicaceae.